RNAcentral lists this ribosomal RNA (397 nucleotides) under Staphylococcus aureus. Its description in RNAcentral is "partial 23S ribosomal RNA". It matches the Rfam family "Bacterial large subunit ribosomal RNA", at positions 117 to 508 of the family's 2925-position model. The record is from RNAcentral. Lineage: Bacteria; Bacillati; Bacillota; Bacilli; Caryophanales; Staphylococcaceae.
AUGGGGAAACCCAGCAUGAGUUAUGUCAUGUUAUCGAUAUGUGAAUACAUAGCAUAUCAGAAGGCACACCCGGAGAACUGAAACAUCUUAGUACCCGGAGGAAGAGAAAGAAAAUUCGAUUCCCUUAGUAGCGGCGAGCGAAACGGGAAGAGCCCAAACCAACAAGCUUGCUUGUUGGGGUUGUAGGACACUCUAUACGGAGUUACAAAGGACGACAUUAGACGAAUCAUCUGGAAAGAUGAAUCAAAGAAGGUAAUAAUCCUGUAGUCGAAAAUGUUGUCUCUCUUGAGUGGAUCCUGAGUACGACGGAGCACGUGAAAUUCCGUCGGAAUCUGGGAGGACCAUCUCCUAAGGCUAAAUACUCUCUAGUGACCGAUAGUGAACCAGUACCGUGAGG